UACCGAGUUUACAACUCCCAAACCCAAUGUGAACGUUACCAAACUGUUGCCUCGGCGGGAUCUUCUGCCCCGGGUGCGUCGCAGCCCCGGACCAAGGCGCCCGCCGGAGGACCAACCAAAAACUCUUUUGUAUACCCCCUCGCGGGUUUUUUAUAUCUGAGCCAUCUCGGCGCCUCUCGUAGGCGUUUCGAAAAUGAAUCAAAACUUUCAACAACGGAUCUCUUGGUUCUGGCAUCGAUGAAGAACGCAGCGAAAUGCGAUAAGUAAUGUGAAUUGCAGAAUUCAGUGAAUCAUCGAAUCUUUGAACGCACAUUGCGCCCGCCAGUAUUCUGGCGGGCAUGCCUGUCCGAGCGUCAUUUCAACCCUCGAACCCCUCCGGGGGGUCGGCGUUGGGGAUCGGCCCUUUACGGGGCCGGCCCCGAAAUACAGUGGCGGUCUCGCCGCAGCCUCUCCUGCGCAGUAGUUUGCACACUCGCAUCGGGAGCGCGGCGCGUCCAUUGCCGUAAAACACCCAACUUUCUGAAAUGUUGACCUCGGAUCAGGUAGGAAUACCCGCUGAACUUAAGCAUA
RNAcentral lists this ribosomal RNA (570 nucleotides) under Trichoderma sp. Its description in RNAcentral is "eukaryotic LSU rRNA". The stretch from base 203 to 356 matches the Rfam family "5.8S ribosomal RNA". The record is from RNAcentral. Lineage: Eukaryota; Fungi; Ascomycota; Sordariomycetes; Hypocreales; Hypocreaceae.